GCCGGUGAGUCGGCGCGGCCGGCCUGAGCCAGGCUGAGGCGCUGGGGAGCGCGGGCCUGGGCGCUGCCCCGGGAGAGCCCGAUCACUCAAUACUUCAUAAGCUUCUGCGACCUCUUUAAAUUUUUCCUCUGCCUGAGGAGAUUUGUUCUUGUCCGGAUGAAAUUUGAGGGCUUGUUUUCGAACUUCCCCAACCAAGGAUGGAACCAUGCCCCCCGGAAGUCUUAACUGGACCACCAGGGAAGUCCCUAAAAUGAUUUAUUUUAAAUUUAAAUCAGUACCUAACCUUAACUAUGAAAUAUCUUUAUAACAUGUUGAAUCUGUGAAGGCAUAAAUAAUUAAACCUCUGCUACUGUGGAGACUAAAA
Molecule: long non-coding RNA, 364 nt
Organism: Balaenoptera ricei (Rice's whale)
Lineage: Eukaryota; Metazoa; Chordata; Mammalia; Artiodactyla; Balaenopteridae
Exons: 3
Source: RefSeq, a predicted model, not a curated record